RNAcentral lists this ribosomal RNA (701 nucleotides) under Intrasporangium sp. RNAcentral describes it as "bacterial SSU rRNA". It matches the Rfam family "Bacterial small subunit ribosomal RNA", at positions 66 to 776 of the family's 1533-position model. Lineage: Bacteria; Bacillati; Actinomycetota; Actinomycetes; Micrococcales; Intrasporangiaceae. The record is from RNAcentral.
ACGGUGACCCUGGGAGCUUGCUCCUGGGUGAUCAGUGGCGAACGGGUGAGUAACACGUGAGUAACCUGCCCCAGACUCUGGGAUAACCCCGGGAAACCGGAGCUAAUACCGGAUAUGACCCUCGGCCGCAUGGUCAGGGGGUGGAAAGUUUUUCGGUCUGGGAUGGACUCGCGGCCUAUCAGCUUGUUGGUGAGGUAGUGGCUCACCAAGGCGACGACGGGUAGCCGGCCUGAGAGGGCGACCGGCCACACUGGGACUGAGACACGGCCCAGACUCCUACGGGAGGCAGCAGUGGGGAAUAUUGCACAAUGGGCGAAAGCCUGAUGCAGCGACGCCGCGUGAGGGAUGACGGCCUUCGGGUUGUAAACCUCUUUCAGCAGGGAAGAAGCGCAAGUGACGGUACCUGCAGAAGAAGCACCGGCUAACUACGUGCCAGCAGCCGCGGUAAUACGUAGGGUGCGAGCGUUGUCCGGAAUUAUUGGGCGUAAAGAGCUUGUAGGCGGUUUGUCGCGUCUGCUGUGAAAAUCCGGGGCUCAACUCCGGACUUGCAGUGGGUACGGGCAGACUAGAGUGUGGUAGGGGAGACUGGAAUUCCUGGUGUAGCGGUGGAAUGCGCAGAUAUCAGGAGGAACACCGAUGGCGAAGGCAGGUCUCUGGGCCACUACUGACGCUGAGAAGCGAAAGCAUGGGGAGCGAACAGG